Molecule: ribosomal RNA, 191 nt
Filed under: Salmonella enterica
Lineage: Bacteria; Pseudomonadati; Pseudomonadota; Gammaproteobacteria; Enterobacterales; Enterobacteriaceae
Description: partial 16S ribosomal RNA
Rfam family: Bacterial small subunit ribosomal RNA
Source: RNAcentral
AAAUUGAAGAGUUUGAUCAUGGCUCAGAUUGAACGCUGGCGGCAGGCCUAACACAUGCAAGUCGAACGGUAACAGGAAGCAGCUUGCUGCUUUGCUGACGAGUGGCGGACGGGUGAGUAAUGUCUGGGAAACUGCCUGAUGGAGGGGGAUAACUACUGGAAACGGUGGCUAAUACAAACGGUGGCUAAUAC